Molecule: long non-coding RNA, 2147 nt
Filed under: Marmota monax (woodchuck)
Lineage: Eukaryota; Metazoa; Chordata; Mammalia; Rodentia; Sciuridae
Source: RNAcentral
CUCACAACAAUUAAGUCAGGGGUGGAGGGGCUCAGGGGGACAACAGUACUGGGGGGAAUAUUAACUUCAAUUUCAACACAUGGACUUUAGGUUUCCUAACAAUUUCCAAGGGUUUUAGGAGCUCUGUGUGAGGAAUCGGGAUAGAGAUCAAAGACACAUUUCUUCUUUCUUUCUUUUUCCUGUGGUGCUGGGGAUGGAGCCCAGGGUUUUGGGCAUGCUAGACAAGUGCUCUACCACUGAGCUGCACUCCAGCCCUGAGUUGUAGGUAUCUGUGAUAAAUCCACAUCAUAGAAACAGGUUUCACAGACAGUUGAAUGCAUUGGCCUGGGGUUAAGGAAAUAUGUCUGAGACCAUAGGGGAGAGUUGAAUUCUGUAGGGUGAAUGGGAGAACCCACAGAAAGGGCAUAAGUGGAAAUGUGAGGACUGGUUCUACCCAAAGGCACACAAACACAGUGGCUGAGCAGAGCUGAGAACUUGCCCAGGAAGAGGAAGUAGAGAUUAGGGUGGCUGGGGAGGCAGGAGGGCCAAGGCGUGCUAGGCCCUGGGCUGAGGCAGGAACCCUCCAGGGGCAUGGUCAGCAUGUCACCUGUGGGUCUGCCUGGAGCUCCUCCUGCUGUGGGGACAGGAGCCAAACUAGAGUGGGUAGCACAGCAAAGGGGACAGCGGUGGAUACAACUGUGCAAGCUGCUAUUGCCUUCUGCUCUCAGAGGUCAGGUCUGCUGCACUACUGCAAUGCCUUAUUGACUGUCUUGUGUGUGUGUGUGUGUGUGUGUGUGUGGGGUGCUGGGGUGAGACACAGGGCCUCCUGCCUACUAGGCGAGCGCUCUGCCGUGCUAAACCUCCAGCCCUCUUCUGUGUUUAAAAAAGUCAAAGUUAAUUCCCCUUUCUGAGAGAAUCCAUCUGCGGAUGAGCCAUGGCCUGGCAACCUUUGCUGCUGACUUCUCAUCUUCCCGGUGCCUGGGUGCUGUGUGAAGCCCUGUGUGGGCGUCUGCAUCUGUCUGCUUGGCCACUCUUUGGUCCCACCUGGAGCACACCAACUCUCCCAGGAUCCUCCUCCUACCUGUGUUCUUAUGUGGAUGAGGGUUAUGGAAAAGAAAAUCAUCAUGGCCAAGUUAAAACUUUCCACUUGUAUAUUUCUGGUACCUCAGGUUCCAAUUUAAAACAUUAGAAUAUUCUGGAACACAUAUGAAAUCCAUGUCCAUUUUGGACCACCCAGAUUCAGAACAUAUAAUGAGAAACUACAGAAACCAUCUUGUAGGUGAUGCAGCUGUUGACUCUCAGAUUCAGUUUUAAGAAGGUCAGAGGAAGGAAUAAAGAGCAUUUAGAUUUGAAAUUCCCAAACCAGGCAACAGAGAACUUAUUAGGAGGUAGAUGGGGGAGGCAUAGGGUUCCCUCUCUCUCCAUCUCUCUUCUUCCCUCCCUUCCUCCAGGCAGACUACAGGUCAGAAAGCAGGAGGUUUGCAGAAAUGUUGAUAAUUGUUAAUAACCCUCCUCUUAUGGGAUUCACUCAGCAGACGGCAUAAACGCAGUAGCCUGACCCACCUGAACUCUCUGUCCAUUCCAUUCUUCACGGUGGUCAACCCCACAUUCCUUUGGAGAAUCUGCUCCUCCAGGAGUCGUAUUCUCCAAGCACAUAUUUUCGGAUGUCGCUCGUGGCGCGGGAUUAAAACUUCACGUGUUCUCUGCUAUUUAUAGAAUUAUCAGCCGCAAGGUUUUCACUGUUCUUUCUUCUUAAGCGCUGGGAUUCAGCCGUUCCGCGGAGGAAUGCUGCCCUCCCUCCCCACCGUCCCUCCCCACCUCCCGACCCGGCGGCGGCAGCGCGCCCUCCCUCCGGGGGGCCGAGUCAGGAGCGUGACGCAGGAGUGGGCUCUUCCUGGACGCCCAGCCUCGCGGGCGCAGCACCCACCAGAGGCGCCGAGCUCCGCGCGGUGCGCGCCCAGUCGGCCCCAUUGCACCCGCUGCGCGCGUCCGCCAAAGGCCUUCCAGCUCACCACGCUGCCCAGCCAGAGGGACAAUGGGCACGGGGGAUUUCAUCUGCAUCUCCAUGACUGGAGGGGCGCCUUGGGGGUUCCGGCUGCAGGGCGGCAAGGAGCAGAAGCAGCCUCUACAAGUGGCGAAGGUAAGCGGGGAGCAGGGUCAAGGUUGUG